CCUACGGGAGGCAGCAGUGGGGAAUAUUGCACAAUGGGGGAAACCCUGAUGCAGCAACGCCGCGUGAGUGAAGAAGUAUUUCGGUAUGUAAAGCUCUAUCAGCAGGGAAGAAGAUGACGGUACCUGAUUAAGAAGCCCCGGCUAACUACGGGCCAGCAGCGGCGGGAAUACGGAGGGGGCAAGCGUUAUCCGGAUUUACUGGGGGUAAAGGGGGCGCAGGCGGCAGCGCAAGCCAGGAGUGAAAGCCCGGGGCCCAACCCCGGGACUGCUCUUGGAACUGCGCGGCUGGAGUGCAGGAGGGGUAGGCGGAAUUCCUGGUGUAGCGGUGAAAUGCGUAGAUAUCAGGAAGAACACCGAUGGCGAAGGCGGCCUACUGGACUGCGACUGACGUUGAGGCCCGAAAGCGUGGGGAGCAAACAGGAUUAGAUACCCGGGUAGUC
Molecule: ribosomal RNA, 440 nt
Filed under: uncultured bacterium
Lineage: Bacteria
Description: partial 16S ribosomal RNA
Rfam family: Bacterial small subunit ribosomal RNA
Source: RNAcentral